CGUGAGAUUUGAUCCUGGCUCAGAACGAACGUGGCGGCAGGCCUAACACAUGCAAGUCGAACGCUGUAGCAAUACAGAGUGGCAGACGGGUGAGUAACGCAUGGGAACCUUCCCAGUGGUGCGGAAUAGCUCAGGGAAACUUGAGGUAAUACCGCAUAAGCCCUUAGGGGGAAAGAUUUAUCGCCAUUGGAUGGGCCCGCGUCGGAUUAGCUAGUUGGUGAGGUAAUGGCUCACCAAGGCAACGAUCCGUAGCUGGUUUGAGAGAAUGACCAGCCACACUGGGACUGAGACACGGCCCAGACUCCUACGGACACAUAGGAAUCU
This 324-nucleotide ribosomal RNA is filed under the name uncultured alpha proteobacterium rcr_54. RNAcentral's name for it is "bacterial SSU rRNA". It matches the Rfam family "Bacterial small subunit ribosomal RNA", at positions 1 to 364 of the family's 1533-position model. Lineage: Bacteria; Pseudomonadati; Pseudomonadota; Alphaproteobacteria. The record is from RNAcentral.